Molecule: ribosomal RNA, 469 nt
Filed under: uncultured bacterium
Lineage: Bacteria
Description: bacterial SSU rRNA
Rfam family: Bacterial small subunit ribosomal RNA
Source: RNAcentral
ACGCUGGCGGCGUGCCUAACACAUGCAAGUCGAGCGAGGAGAUUCCUUCGGGAUGAUCCUAGCGGCGGACGGGUGAGUAACACGUGGGCAACCUGCCUCAUAGAGAGGAAUAGCCUUCCGAAAGGGAGAUUAAUACCUCAUAACAUUGCAGUUUCGCAUGGAACAGCAAUUAAAGGAGUAAUCCGCUAUGAGAUGGGCCCGCGGCGCAUUAGCUAGUUGGUGAGGUAACGGCUCACCAAGGCGACGAUGCGUAGCCGACCUGAGAGGGUGAUCGGCCACAUUGGGACUGAGACACGGCCCAGACUCCUACGGGAGGCAGCAGUGGGGAAUAUUGCACAAUGGGGGAAACCCUGAUGCAAGCAACGCCGCGUGAGUGAUGACGGCCUUCGGGUUGUAAAGCUCUGUCUUCAGGGACGAUAAUGACGGUACCUGAGGAGGAAGCCACGGCUAACUACGUGCCAGCAGCCGC